This 66-nucleotide transfer RNA is filed under the name Batracomorphus rinkihonis. Its description in RNAcentral is "tRNA-Trp". Lineage: Eukaryota; Metazoa; Arthropoda; Insecta; Hemiptera; Cicadellidae. The record is from RNAcentral.
AAGAUUUUAAGUUAAAUCAAACUAAUAACCUUCAAAGUUGUAAAUAUCAAAAUUAGAUAAAUCUUA